GUCUGGGUGGCUCAGUCAGUUAAGCGUCUGACUUCAGCUCAGGCCAUGAUCUCAUGAUUCGUGGGUUCGAGCCCCACAUCGGGCU
Molecule: transfer RNA, 85 nt
Filed under: Felis catus (domestic cat)
Lineage: Eukaryota; Metazoa; Chordata; Mammalia; Carnivora; Felidae
Also listed under: 3 other names
Rfam family: tRNA
About the family: Transfer RNA (tRNA) molecules are approximately 80 nucleotides in length. Their secondary structure includes four short double-helical elements and three loops (D, anti-codon, and T loops).
Source: Rfam by way of RNAcentral